GAGAGGCUGGGGCUGCGGCUCAGCGUGGGCUCCCCUGGUGCGCAGCAGCAGCUGCGAGGAGCUCACUGCGGUUCUAGCCCCGCCGCAGCUGCUUAGACGCAGGUUUAACUUCUUUAUUCAGAAAAAAAUGUGGUUCAGAAAAGAACCCAGUAAGGUUGAACCUCGAAGAUCAGACACGGCAACAAGUGGUGAAGCAUACAAGAGAAGUGCUUUGAUUCCUCUGGUGGAAGAAACAGUCUUUUAUCUUUCUCCCUAUCCUAUAAGGACUCUCAUAAAACCUUUAUUUUUUUACUGUUGGGUUUACAGGCUGUGCAUUUGGAUCAGCUGCUAUUUGGCAAUACGAAUCACUGAAAUCCAGGGGUCCAGAGUUAUUUUGAUGGCAUAAAAGCUGAUUGGUUGGAUAGCAUAAGACCACAAAAAGAAGGAGACUUCAGAAAGGAGAUUAACAAGCGGUGGAAUAACCUAAGUGAUGGCCAGCGGACUCAGGUAUCAUAGCUGCAAACGUCCUUGUAUUCUGUUUGUGGAGAGUACCUUCUCUGCAGUGGACAGUGAUCUGAUAUUUCAAAUCUAAUCCAGCCUCAAAAGUGUUAUUUCCAAUUUUGUCAGUUAUGUGUGUAAAGUUGCCACACGAAGAUAUGGACCAUCACUUGGAAAUGCCCUACAAUCCAUUAACGCCACGGAUAUGGCAGGAAUGAUCCUGGGACGGAAAUUUUUUGAUUAUGCAGCACAUCUUGGGGGAGCUCUCUUUGGAAUAUGGUAUGUUACUUACCCUCAUGAACUGAUUUGGAAGAACAGGGAGCCUCUAGUGAAAAUCUGGCAUGAAAUGAGGACUAAUGCCCCCCCAAACAAGAGGUGGCUCUAAGUAAAACUGGGAUUGCACAGUACCGGUGCACCUGUCUUGUCCUGCCGGAGAGCCCCAGGAGACAUCGGCCCUAGAGUGAUCAUGGCUACGUUCCCGCCUGGAAGACGCCAGCAUCUGGCCUCCCACUGUUUUCAGCUGUGUCCCCGGGUCCGUGUCUUUUCAGAAAGUGAAAAUGACAUAGUUGUGACGUAAAGGUUUACAUCUAGUUCGU
RNAcentral lists this long non-coding RNA (1073 nucleotides) under Homo sapiens (human). RNAcentral's name for it is "long non-coding RNA NONHSAT208177.1". Lineage: Eukaryota; Metazoa; Chordata; Mammalia; Primates; Hominidae. The record is from RNAcentral.